GACGAACGCUGGCGGCGUGCCUAAUACAUGCCAGUCGAGCGGACGGAUGGGAGCUUGCUCCCAGACCGUCAGCGGCGGACGGGUGAGUAACACGUGGGCAACCUGCCUGUAAGACUGGGAUAACUCCGGGAAACCGGGGCUAAUACCGGAUAACUCUUUCCCUCACAUGAGGGAAAGCUGAAAGAUGGCAUCUCGCUAUCACUUACAGAUGGGCCCGCGGCGCAUUAGCUAGUUGGUGAGGUAACGGCUCACCAAGGCGACGAUGCGUAGCCGACCGGAGAGGGUGAUCGGCCACACUGGGACUGGGACACGGCCCAGACUCCUACGGGAGGCAGCAGUAGGGAAUCUGCCGCAAUGGACGAAAGUCUGACGGAGCAACGCCGCGUGAGUGAUGAAGGUUUUCGGAUCGUAAAACUCUGUUGUCAGGGAAGAACAAGUACCGGAGUAACUGCCGGUACCUUGACGGUACCUGACCAGAAAGCCACGGCUAACUACGUG
This 498-nucleotide ribosomal RNA is filed under the name uncultured bacterium. Its description in RNAcentral is "partial 16S ribosomal RNA". It matches the Rfam family "Bacterial small subunit ribosomal RNA", at positions 28 to 507 of the family's 1533-position model. The record is from RNAcentral.